UACAGAGGGGGCAAGCGUUAUUCGGAAUUAUUGGGCGUAAAGGGCGCGUAGGCGGCUUUGCAAGUGACGGGUGAAAGCCCUCGGCUUAACCGAGGAACUGCCUGUCAGACUGUGAGGCUUGAGACCGGGAGAGGUGAGUGGAAUUCCAGGUGUAGCGGUGAAAUGCGUAGAUAUCUGGAGGAACUCCGGUGGCGAAGGCGGCGUUCUGGACUGUUUCUGACACUGAGGAACGAAAGCCAGGGGAGCAAACGGG
RNAcentral lists this ribosomal RNA (253 nucleotides) under uncultured bacterium. RNAcentral's name for it is "partial 16S ribosomal RNA". It matches the Rfam family "Bacterial small subunit ribosomal RNA", at positions 524 to 776 of the family's 1533-position model. The record is from RNAcentral.